RNAcentral lists this transfer RNA (73 nucleotides) under Sorex caecutiens (Laxmann's shrew). RNAcentral describes it as "tRNA-Asn". The record is from RNAcentral. RNAcentral also lists the same sequence under 2 other names. Lineage: Eukaryota; Metazoa; Chordata; Mammalia; Eulipotyphla; Soricidae.
CUAGAUUGGUGGGCUUUCAUCCCACGAAAUUUUAGUUAACAGCUAAAUACCCUAAACAACUGGCUUCAAUCUA